RNAcentral lists this unclassified non-coding RNA (1340 nucleotides) under uncultured bacterium. RNAcentral describes it as "partial 16S-23S ribosomal RNA intergenic spacer". The stretch from base 1208 to 1340 matches the Rfam family "Bacterial large subunit ribosomal RNA", at positions 1 to 131 of the family's 2925-position model. The record is from RNAcentral.
CGUCGUCUUCGUUUCUCUUCCAUGCCUUUUUCAUAGGUAAACUCAAUUGAAGUUUGUUAUGCUUUUAAAACAUUAGCUAUUUUAUUAUUAACAUAAAUAGGUUUUUAUGCAUUUAUCUACCGGUAUCUGCCUGGAAUGGGUUUGACGGUUUGAAAGUGUUUUAAUGGGAAUAUGUUAAAAUAAAAAGCUCUGUUAAAAUAUGAUUCUAAUAAAGUUAAAAUGGAGUUCUAAUAAAACGAGGGUUCUAAUAGGGUUGGAAAAUACUAAAACCAACACUAGACCGUUUUAAAGACAAUAAAAUUAUUAGAUCAUAUGUUUAAUGGUUUUAGGGCCUGUAGCUCAGGUGGUUAGAGCGCACGCCUGAUAAGCGUGAGGUCGGUAGUUCAAGUCUACCCAGGCCCACCAUAAUCAGAAGCGUGAAGUUUUAAAGAAAUCUAGGUUUUUUAAAGAAGAAUACACUUUAAGAAAUAAGUUAGUUCUUCGGCUCUAUGAUGAAUUAAGAUAGAGAUAAAUUAGAAUAGAGAUAAAUUAAAAUAGGCUUUUAAAACAUGAAUAUUUUAGAUCUUUUACUAUUUUCCUUUGCGAAAUAAAACAUCGAUCAUCUUGUUUUCAAUUGUUUGAUACGCAUCUUAUUUAUUAUAACCGAGAUGUUAUAAGCGUAUAAAGGGGCCGUAGCUCAAUUGGGAGAGCGCCUGCUUUGCAAGCAGGAGGUCGUCGGUUCGAUCCCGUCCGGCUCCACCAAUGCUAUCUCUCAAAUAGAAAAUUUAGCUUUAAAAGAAUGGGUCAAAAUAUAUGAUGAUCAUGCGAAUUUUGCUUGUAUAACAGCAUAAAUUAUAUUAAACUAAGCACUUGCACUAACAGUAAAUAGUGUUGUUUGGUUUUGACCUUAUCUAUGAAAACAAUAGAUAGCGAACAUUAAAACAGGCUAUAAAAGAUCUUUAUGAUAAAUGCUUUUUUAAAAAGCAAACCAUGGCUCGAAUAUUAGAAUUAUGGGAAUUAGCUUGUAAUAGGUUUAUGAAAUACUGUUUUGUUAUUUUUUGAUAAGGCUGGAGAAAAAGGUUUGCCUUUUAUAAGGUAAAAUGACAUCGUGAAUAAUAUCCUUUUGUCCGAUUUUAGGACAAAUUUCAGGUUUUAUAGUCUGACAAAGCUAUACAAGGUGUGAGAAUAUAUUUUAUAUAUGAUCUUCACUGCGUAUAGGUAUUGUUGAGAUCAAGCGUUUUAAGGGCGUCUGGUGGAUGCCUUGGCGCGUGCAGGCGAUGAAGGACGUAGCAUGCUGCGAUAAGCCACGGGGAACUGCAAGCAAGUUUUGAUGCCGUGGAUGUCCGAAUGGGGAAACCCGG